This 82-nucleotide transfer RNA is filed under the name Tepidiphilus thermophilus. RNAcentral describes it as "Petrobacter sp. JHK30 tRNA". It matches the Rfam family "tRNA". Rfam says of the family: Transfer RNA (tRNA) molecules are approximately 80 nucleotides in length. Lineage: Bacteria; Pseudomonadati; Pseudomonadota; Hydrogenophilia; Hydrogenophilales; Hydrogenophilaceae. The record is from Rfam by way of RNAcentral.
GCCCGGGUGGCGAAAUUGGUAGACGCACCAGAUUUAGGUUCUGGCGCCGCAAGGCGUGGGGGUUCGAGUCCCUUCCCGGGCA